Molecule: long non-coding RNA, 551 nt
Organism: Cavia porcellus (domestic guinea pig)
Lineage: Eukaryota; Metazoa; Chordata; Mammalia; Rodentia; Caviidae
Exons: 3
Source: RefSeq, a predicted model, not a curated record
CCUUGAAGAAGGGGGCUGGAGGAACCCAGCACCUGCUUCUCACUUCCUCUUUCUUUUCCUGACCCGCAGGUGGGAAGUUUCUGCUAUGUCAUAAGCCCACUGUGUGGUGCUGCCUACUCAGCUAAAACUGCAAGCCGAAGUGCACUUGUUCUCCUGGUGAACUGAUUACCUCGAUUGCCUUUUGUUAAAGGACCAGAAAGCUAACAUAGUGGAUGUUCUCUUUUUUUGUCUAAUGGUUCAUAUGCUGAAUAAACAGCACAGCGUGAUGAGCGCUUGUGUGGGUCUGAAAUGAUCUCAGCGGCCCCUGAACUUGUCUGAUGAAAAUCCCGCGGGACGCACAGAUGCUUUCCGGAAUCUAGAAAGCCAGGCGUGGGACCCCUUUCACGUUGGGAAGCGUACACCUUCCUCAGGUGCUGUUCAUCCAGACACAGGGGCCUUGGCAAGCGGAACGAGCACUGCAUACUGAUAAACACUGAAAUUCAGCUCCAGAUGGACCCCGUGAGCCAGGAUUCGCAUUCUAGCAAAUCUCUGGGUAAUUUGGUGCACAAUAA